Molecule: long non-coding RNA, 941 nt
Organism: Manis javanica (Malayan pangolin)
Lineage: Eukaryota; Metazoa; Chordata; Mammalia; Pholidota; Manidae
Source: RefSeq, a predicted model, not a curated record
UGUACUUCUUCUCCUCAUAGUUUGAGUCUGUGUACUCCAGGAGCAGGCGGAUGGAGUGAGCCAGCUGCGAGAAGCCACGGCAGAGUCAGGGGCGAAAAGUCAGCCUGCCUGCCUUUCUCUGCUCCAGAGGCCUGUGCGGGACAGCAAUACACACUGUGUCACAUAUCGAGUCCCAGUCCCGACCUCUAGUCUUGCUUCCGGACUGCUCGCCAUACCUUCCAGCUCCCCUGCUCACAUGCUGAACUUGCGAGGUUAAUUCACAAAAAUUCUAUGUAAAGUGGCCUCAGAAUGCAAAGCUGCCUAUGACAAAUGAAAACCAACAGUAGAAUUAAAAUGUGUCCUACUCAUGACCUAAUCAAGUCAACAACUCAGCUCAUCUUGAAAGCAAAACAAGUAGCCUUGACUGAUAUGCUCCCAAACCAAGAAACUACUACUCUGAGAAAGGAUCAAAGCAGUAAAUUUCUUAUGUUAACUCUGCAAAAUAGUCCCGAAAACUGAUAAAACUUAGUGUCUUUUUAAAAAUAAACAUUUAGAGACCAUCUGGUGGGUCUGCAUCCCUAGCUCUUUGUCUUGCAACAGCCUGUAAAUCCCCUAGACAACGCACCACCACGGGCUCUCUUGUCCCCUCCUGGCUCACCCCAGGAGCUCUGUCUGUCCUCUCACUGUAUCUCUCAAUAAAAGUCUCCCUGGCUCUCCUACCUUGACUGUUUGCUAAGUUCAUUCUUCAAGUCCGCAAACAAGAACCCCAGCAUCACUAAGUCAGGGACGUCUUCACUGGAAAAGGUCACUACCGCUCACCUCACUUCAGUGACCCUGACAGCAGAAGAGAACAUCCAACUGUUACAAGUGCAGGGAAAUUUAUUAAAGGGAAAUUGUGGAUAAAAUGAGAGUGCCUGUGGCCAGGAUUCUCACCUGGCCCUGGUUGACUAGCUCACUGCACA